This is a long non-coding RNA of Lathyrus oleraceus (garden pea), 490 nucleotides long. RefSeq lists it as uncharacterized. The record is from RefSeq and is a predicted model, not a curated record. The transcript is spliced from 2 exons. Lineage: Eukaryota; Viridiplantae; Streptophyta; Magnoliopsida; Fabales; Fabaceae.
AUUGUCCCAACGUUUUACGAUUCGAUUUAUAUUUGAGAAAUUUGCUCUAUUGAAGCAAAUAUCAUGAUGAAGUUUGGAAGUCUUUUCCUAAUGGUGUGUGUUUUGUUUGUUCUCUUGAGCCACACUUCAGGAUCUCCUGCACCUAUUGGAGAUGCAGAUGAUGGUGGCCCCUUUUGUCCUAGAAGUUUUACUUUUUUCGGAAAGUGCAGUGAGUCUCCAACUUGUUUCGACGAACUCAAUGCUGCAUUUGGACCAAGUGGCAAGGUUCAUCAAUGUACUUGUAAACCUCUUCUUGAAAAUCGACGAAUUUGCACAUGUUUAACCAUAUGUAAAUUGUGAAAAAUAGUCAUUUUUGUAACGAACUAAAAUAUAUAAGUGAGAUAUCCCAAGUGCUAAUCUGUGCUUUACAUUGAUAUUUCAAUAUAUGCGCCUCUGCGACUAUAAUUAAAAUAAUACAAUAAUAUUCAAAUAUAUGAGUUGAUAUAUUUUA